RNAcentral lists this long non-coding RNA (470 nucleotides) under Toxoplasma gondii VEG. The record is from RNAcentral. Lineage: Eukaryota; Apicomplexa; Conoidasida; Eucoccidiorida; Sarcocystidae.
UGCACAUCCCGGGAGUGAGGAAAAAAUCAGAAAUCUACCGGUCCGUUCGUUGCUUGCAAUCCACCCUUUUUCUUUGUCCGUUCACGGGCAGGGUGAGCUGUUAUUUCUCAGCGAACUCGCUGUUCGUGAUGUCUGGCGGGUAACAUCUCAACUAGAGCCAUAGUCAGUAGUUGCAGUGACCUUGUACUUUGAGGAGUCGCGGUAUCAUUCUGGCGUCUAGAUUUUUUCAGAAGAUUGGAUUAUUGGUGACCUGCCACACAUUCAGGAACUGGAGAACUCUUUUCCGCCUGGUCUGUGUGUUGAUGAUACUCGCCUCUUCAUUUUUUACCGCUACUGCAGGUUCUACCGCACACCGUUCAGGUUACGAAAUUAUGGUGGUGACCCUUGUGCCCGACGGAGACUGCGGCAGACUGUCAUUUGGCUGUGCUUUUUUGCCCUGAGGACAAACCAAAGCUGCAUCCCCUUUAAAC